RNAcentral lists this ribosomal RNA (501 nucleotides) under uncultured bacterium. Its description in RNAcentral is "partial 16S ribosomal RNA". It matches the Rfam family "Bacterial small subunit ribosomal RNA", at positions 28 to 507 of the family's 1533-position model. The record is from RNAcentral.
GACGAACGCUGGCGGCGUGCCUAAUACAUGCAAGUCGGGCGGACCGAACGAGGGCUUGCUCUUGUUUGGUCAGCGGCGGACGGGUGAGUAACACGUGGGCAACCUGCCCGCAAGACCGGGAUAACUCCGGGAAACCGGAGCUAAUACCGGAUAACACCGAAGACCGCAUUGUCUUCGGUUGAAAGGCGGCCUUUGGGCUGUCACUUGCGGAUGGGCCCGCGGCGCAUUAGCUAGUUGGUGAGGUAACGGCUCACCAAGGCGACGAUGCGUAGCCGGCCUGAGAGGGUGACCGGCCACACUGGGACUGAGACACGGCCCAGACUCCUACGGGAGGCAGCAGUAGGGAAUCUUCCGCAAUGGGCGAAAGCCUGACGGAGCGACGCCGCGUGAGCGAAGAAGGCCUUCGGGUCGUAAAGCUCUGUUGUGAGGGACGAAGGAGCGCCGUUCGAAGAGGGCGGCGCAGUGACGGUACCUCACGAGAAAGCCCCGGCUAACUACGUG